UAGGGUUGGACUGAAAACCCACAGGAUGGUAGAUCUCCAGGAAGAGGGUUGGGUAGCCCUGCUUUAGAAAUACAUUUUUGGAUCAAAUGUUUAUUCACUUUAAUAAACAGAAUGUUUAGUUUUUAUCUAGCAUUAUUGUUGAGGCUGCAAAAGCACAUUGCAGUAUUAAUCAUGAGUGAGAGUUUGGGUGAGCUGAUAUUGUAACCCAAAAUUAAUUUCAGUAAACUACUUGAACUGUAUGACAUCUACUCCUGUCAUCAGCUUGAAUGUCAGUGUCUUCGAAGAGAAACCAACACAUACAUGUACACAGAAUUCCAUAGUCCAGAAUUCUCAACCUACACUCUGGACCUCGAUGCGUUUGUUCAUUGUUCCCCUUCUAAUCAGGGACUGAUUUAGACCUGGAACACCAGGUUGGUGCAAUUGAUUAUGCGGUAGAACAGAACCGGCAGGCUCCGGACCUUGUAGGGUAAGAGUUGAAUACCCCUAGAGGCUAUGCAAAGCCAACGCAGCAGUUGGACUUAUGGUGCACUGAUGCUGGAACAUAUGUCCUGACAGAACAAGUCUGCUGCCUCUACAUCCAGCUAUAUUGUUCAGAGUAGAAAAUACAACUUUGUUGGUCAGAUACACAUAUUUAGCAGAUGUUAUUGCGGGUGUAGCGAAAUGCUUAUGUUCCUAGCUCCAACAGCGCAUUAAUAUCUAACAAUUAGCUAGUAAAGACCAUGUGGAGGAGCUGAUGGGGCUGUAUUUUAUGGCUGUCUGGACUGCCCAAUUUUUGACCUAUGGGUAUAGAAUCCUAUGAGGACAAGGUCAAUGAAAAGCUAUUGGGAAAUGACCUUUGGCUUAAUUACUACAGUCCCUACACUGUUGCCUUUGAAAAGAGAACAUUUAAACGAACAUCUGGAUUUAAUAUUUUAUUAGUAUUGGCAAGUUCAACUAUCAACUUUGCAUGCCAUGUGUUAACGCAGUAAACAAACCAAACUAAUGUAACAUCCUCGUUUCUAGAGUGCUUUGGAUCCACUGAGGUGGUGCUGCUGACUCACUGACUUCAGUCAGUUACUUCAACUCUCCCCUACUAAUUAGCCACCUAACACUUACCACCUCUAACAAUGCAUGCAAUCCGUAGCUACCCUCUCCCCUCCACUAUGAUUUAUGGCUGACUGUUUCUAUAGCGUUUUGCUGAGUAGGCUUGCCAUAUGUUAGAUUAGAUUAAUGCAUUACUGAAUUGGGGUUAUAAUGUAAAUUAAAACCAUAUAAUUCCGUCUUUUUGGCUGCUUCAUUGGUCCUGUUCAUUCUGAUAUUAUUUUGUUCCUCUACUCAGCUUCCGUCUGUCUAUUCCUAACCCACUGACUGCUCCGCACAGAAAACAUUAGCUUUCCUACUGUACGCGUUUGUAACAGGGCUGGGGGUCAAUUGAAGGUGAAUUUCAAAAAAAGAAACGCGUUGUGAUUAAAUAGCUGCUUGUAACGUGUACGUUAAUAAUCGGGAAGCAAAUACAGGCAGCGAAUUUAUCAAAUUAACGAAAAAUGAGUAGCGUAAAGACAUGAAACCGAAACAACAGCUGGGGAAAGAACCGACGGGAGUGACAGAUAUAGGGGAGGUAAUCAGGAAGGCGAUGGAGUCCAGAUCAUGGCUAACUUUGACAUGGUGCUGGGGGCCAGUGGAGGCUGACUACAACAAACAUGGAGGACUGGUUCUGAGCCGUCUGUUUGCAGAGCACCCAGACGUUGUCGCGGGCGACCUGUCAGGGAACGCAGCAGUAGCUGCCCACGGGGCCACUGUGCUUAUGAAGCUGGGUGAGCUGCUGAAAGCUAAAGGUGACCACGCUGCCAUCCUUAAGCCCCUGGCAACCACCCAUGCCACCAAGCAUAGGAUUGCCCUCAACAACUUCAUGGUCAAAGAAACACUACAUAAUGAAAGCAACCAGAAAGCAAUUUGGAGGCAUUGAACCAACGGCUUUCGCCAGGCAGCAGGCACUCCACCUAAUGUCAGUAUAUUGACACAGCAACGAGACAUUCUAAAAAAGGGCAGUGGAGGGAUGCAGCCAGCUUCCUCACAGAGACCAGCCGCUCAGGGGGCACUGACACAUUACGAGCUGGAGGAGGAGACACACACACCACAGAAACACAGAGUGUAAGAGUAUCGUAGUGGGCUUUCCACUACGUUGAGACAUUAACUUUGGAGUUCCUUAACGGGUGUUACUCCAUAUGGAUCUGUUUUUACUGCUUGGAUAUGAAACUGGUAGGUAAUAUUGGCGUAAAUCUUUUUCUAAUGUUUUAUCCAUUACCUGGUUGCUGUUUUUUUGUCUGCCUGUUUUUCCCCACAGGGGUCUACCCGGUGUUUGCAGCGGUACUGGGUAAUUUAUCCCUCACCGGUGUCAUGACGUUACCCUCGUCGGGUACAGCAAGCCCCAUCCCCCUCUCCCUGUCUCCUGCACCCAGGCUGCUGUGGUCAGAGAGAAGUCGUAAAUUCCUGGAGGAGAUUAUCUCCUCAUGGCCACAGUUUUGAGAGAGUGAAUUUUCAUAGAGAACAAAGGAAUUUCUUCCACCUCACAGAACUUGAGAUCUGAACAACAUUUAUGUUCUGGAGAAGGUAUAAAAGAUCGGUGAAGUAACCAGCUACAAACUGGUCCGUUUGGUACAAUUUGGUGAAACUCAUGGGAGACAAUACCAUAACACUGUUUAUAUAAUAGCCUCAGAUAUGAGGUUUACAUCUAAUUGUUGUAUAAGAUGAAUGAGUGAAGAUGAUACUGUUUGUAAAAUUGUGUAAUGUGAUUUUGGACUGUUUAAUGAACGAAACUCCAAUUCCCUUUUAACUAAAUCAGAGGACCGCCCAUGAGCCCAGUUUGGACCUGGCGUCAUGAGGCAGUCUUUUUCUGCCCUCCCGAAGAAAAGCCCCACUUAUAGAAUUUUUCAACAGACCAUGUUUCCCUCAAUUACGAGAGGACAAAGGUUGCAGACCAGCUAACCUCGAUAACGAGAGGGCCAAGGUUUGAGUAGAUGACUGAAUAUUUUAACCAUACCACGUGGUUAAACUCUUAGACUAUCGAUACUGACAGAAUAAGAACAAGUAUUUUAUAUUAAUUACUAGUCUGCAGCUAGGAAUUCAGCAUCAUUGAACGCGAAGACCGACAACCGCCGAAAAAUCUAUCCAUAACUACAUGAAUGAAUGUCACUCUGAACUAUCCAUUCUAACCACGACAGAGUGCGGACAAACUCUCCGACAGAAACAAACUUUUCAACAGAGACCCCGACGACACACUGAGCGUAAAUAUAUAUAUUGAUUGCAAUUGUUCCCAAAUGAGUGAGUGGUCAUGUGCAAAGGACUAGCAUUACAAAUGUUAUAAUUAUCAACUGUGUUGUCUUAUCUCAGUCGACCCCCACUUCCCUUUUGUACAACAAGCCGCGAAGACGGUUUAUCCUACUAGGGAAACUCCAUUAUCAUUUCCUUGUAACUAUCUACUGUUUGUUUAUGCAUUUCUGUGAAUUACUUAGUAAAUAAAUGAUUUAAGACAA
This is an RNA transcript of Oncorhynchus mykiss (rainbow trout), 3512 nucleotides long. It is a transcript of the gene named myoglobin, with no coding region annotated. The record is from RefSeq and is a predicted model, not a curated record. NCBI's taxonomy places the organism in Eukaryota, Metazoa, Chordata, Actinopteri, Salmoniformes, Salmonidae.